UACGGAGGGUGCAAGCGUUAUCCGGAUUCACUGGGUUUAAAGGGUGUGUAGGCGGGCUAUUAAGUCAGUGGUGAAAUCUCCGAGCUUAACUUGGAAACUGCCAUUGAUACUAUUAGUCUUGAAUUUUGUUGAGGCAGGCGGAAUAAGUCAUGUAGCGGUGAAAUGCAUUGAUAUGACUUAGAACACCAAUUGCGAAGGCAGCUUACUAAACAAAUAUUGACGCUGAGGCACGAAAGCGUGGGGAUCAAACAAG
This 253-nucleotide ribosomal RNA is filed under the name uncultured bacterium. Its description in RNAcentral is "partial 16S ribosomal RNA". It matches the Rfam family "Bacterial small subunit ribosomal RNA", at positions 524 to 776 of the family's 1533-position model. The record is from RNAcentral.